This 462-nucleotide ribosomal RNA is filed under the name Triticum aestivum (bread wheat). RNAcentral's name for it is "partial small subunit ribosomal RNA". The record is from RNAcentral. Lineage: Eukaryota; Viridiplantae; Streptophyta; Magnoliopsida; Poales; Poaceae.
AUGGAUAGCGAUCCAGUCCCGACCGCCACCUCCCCUCAUCCUGUCGAUGACGCUGAGGUGUUGUCUCAAGAGGCACCGGAUCGAGGGGAGACAGUCCCGGAGGCGCCUCAAGGCGACCUUCCGGGCUCCGGGAGCCGAGGGGACGGGGCCCUUGAGAGCUCCGAGUUCGGCCCUCAGCCGAACACCGCGCCAGACCCUUCAGCGAUUCCGGGCUCGGGCAGGCAGCCUCCUUCUAAGAGGGGCAAGACGCCUGUGCCGGUGACCUCUGUCCAUCCAGAGGCGCCGGACAGUCUACUAGAAGCGCUUUGCAGCGCUUCCAUCAACGAGGAGCACCGCACUAUCAUGAGUGCGGUGAUCCAGAAGGUUCAGUCCGCGAAGAGCAGAUUGACUGAAGCCUGUGCCAGCCUUCUAACAGGCUUCGAGCUAAGUGUUUUCAAAUGUAGUAGAAAUAUUACCGCAUAG